CACUUAUUUGAUUUCCUUCGGGACUGAUUAUUUUGUGACUGAGUGGCGGACGGGUGAGUAACGCGUGGGUAACCUGCCUUGUACAGGGGGAUAACAGUUGGAAACGACUGCUAAUACCGCAUAAGCGCACAGUACCGCAUGGUACAGUGUGAAAAACUCCGGUGGUAUGAGAUGGACCCGCGUCUGAUUAGGUAGUUGGUGGGGUAACGGCCUACCAAGCCAACGAUCAGUAGCCGACCUGAGAGGGUGACCGGCCACAUUGGGACUGAGACACGGCCCAAACUCC
This 286-nucleotide ribosomal RNA is filed under the name uncultured Lachnospiraceae bacterium. RNAcentral describes it as "partial 16S ribosomal RNA". The stretch from base 48 to 286 matches the Rfam family "Bacterial small subunit ribosomal RNA", at positions 100 to 339 of the family's 1533-position model. The record is from RNAcentral. Lineage: Bacteria; Bacillati; Bacillota; Clostridia; Lachnospirales; Lachnospiraceae.